UUUCCUAUAUUUUUUUUGUACUUACAAUUCAAAGAGUACACCUUUUGUUUCCACCGUCUUCUUCCUGUUUUUGUUCUUGCUCUCCACAUCUGUUUGUGUUCUUGCUGCAAGUAUGUUUCUUCUUCAAUUAAUUCUGCACAUAUCUUCUUCUUUUUCCUUAAUUCUUUUUUUUUGGGUUUUCUCCAUCCUUUUUAGUUUUGCUAUCCAAUGACUGUAGAAUCCAUUCAUCUUCAACCUCAAACUUCAUGUUUUGUAUCUCGCUUUAUCUCCCCCCCCCACUAGAAGCUUCAGCCACUUGGAACGAUUUCCCAUUGUUGAUCUUCUUUUUUCUAAAGCCUAAAUGCUUCUCUAUCUCAGUCCGAUACUGACACUGAUCUGGUUGAUAAGCCUAAUUAAGAAGAAGAAAAUUUUGGGUAAAACGUCACAUUGCUUAGUUUGGAGUUCUUUAUCUUCUUUAGUUCUGUUCCAAUGUUCCUUUCUUCAAUUUCAUCGCCCCUCUUCUGCUCUUUCAUGGCUCUCUCACGGUAAACUAUUACUGAUUUUGUUUAUCUGUAAUGCUAAGUUAGAUGGUGAAAAAUAGAUAGUAUUAAACUGGAAACAGUUGUGUCGAAGAAUCUUGUAGCAUUAUACUUGGGUACUAUAAGCUGGGUGGAUCCAUGACAUUUAGUGCCGUAAAAUUAUCUCCAUGUAGUAGUUCUUGUAAAGAUCUGCUUGCAAUCUGAACAGGCUAAGAAGCAGAACUGCUAGUUCUCAUUUGGUAGUGCGAGUUCAGCUUCUAGCAAUUAAAAAUUCAGAGGAAUACAUAUAAAUUUUAUUGUUCUUACAUAUAAAUUUUUAUUGUUCUUACCGGAGGUUGCUUCUGGAUAUUGCCAAUUGGUAUGAUCUCUUCCUGGAAAAGGAACACUCAUAAGAGAGCCUAUUGGAGUUGUACUCCUUGCCGUGUAUACUGCUCAUGAGUUGUGUUCAUUAACAGUAUCUUGUAUACUGCUCAUGAGUUGUAUUCAUUGUUAAUCCUGUCGCGUAAAGAUAGAAAGUAUAUGUUGUUACUUUGAUGGUAAUAAUUUUAUAUAUGUAUUUAUAAUUGUAUACCAUCAAAAAGUGAUAUUCUAAUUGUCUAACAUGUUUCAGAUAGAAGCAAUGAGUCUCUCAUGACAGGAGUACUCAGUUCGCUUAAGACAUUAGCCGCCUCCGAGGAUGAUGCAUUAGCGGAGUUGGUAAUAAUUGAGCUGGCAACAAGAUGAUGUCUGUUUGAUUCAGCUUUGUUUUCUCCUACUCGCGCUAAGAGAACCCUUUUAUUAGCUUGCAUCUUUCUAUAUAGGCAGAAUACAUAGUUUACCCCCAGAACUAUGGACCAAAUCCCUGUGACACACCUUUUGGGAACAAAAAUUACCUUACACACUCAACAUUUCCAAAGUGUAUCUAAUACACACUACUUUUACACUCGUGAUUUACACGCACAAGAGGCGAGUGAAGAGUUAACAUGUUGUAUCUAAAUCGUCAUCUGGAAACUAUUUGUGCAGGUUUUUCAUUUUUCAUUUUUUUAUUUUCUAAAAAGAUUUCAUCAAUUCUUUUCCAGGUACCAGAUUUUCCCCCCAAGAUCUAAAGGGGAACGAGAAAAUACAAAGAACUAGAGUUUCCAUAUUUGAACACCAAUAUAUUUUGGUUAUGACUCGCGAUUCAAAUCUCCAAAUUGACAAUUGUUUUUGAGAUUGGGUGUUUUUCAGAUUUAGAUUUUGAUUAGCUUCUUGAAAUAAUAAGGAAGGUGAUUUAAUCCCAGAAUGAUUGCUCUUUUUCCAGUUUUGAUAAACUAGAUACAGAAUAAUCCCAAUCGGGUUUUAUUUUUUUCUCUCUAA
Molecule: long non-coding RNA, 1853 nt
Filed under: Nicotiana tabacum (common tobacco)
Lineage: Eukaryota; Viridiplantae; Streptophyta; Magnoliopsida; Solanales; Solanaceae
Description: long non-coding RNA (NTAB_LNC016060)
Source: RNAcentral